RNAcentral lists this unclassified non-coding RNA (3112 nucleotides) under Hevea brasiliensis (rubber tree). The record is from RNAcentral. Lineage: Eukaryota; Viridiplantae; Streptophyta; Magnoliopsida; Malpighiales; Euphorbiaceae.
CUCAGGCCAUUCCUUCAUGACGCAAAGAGGGGAAGUUAGAGAACAAACAAUCUAUCAUGAAAAAUGAAAUGCAUGAGAACAUGUGGACAGACACAGAGAGUACGCCUUGUUUAGACCAGUUAGAUGUAGUGUAUAAACAUGGAAAUGAUACGAAUAAAUGUUGCUGUACUGAUCCAGCCAUUCAAGAUAGGCAACCCAUAUUAAAGCAGAAUUCAAAUGGAGAUUUUAAGCACCCUGUAUUCACCUUCCUUCCUAUUCACCCAAAGCUCACUCCACCUUGUCUUAUUUUUUGUUCCCCAACCAACCCUAAAGAUUCCCAUUAAUACACAUUAAUCUACUCUUUUUCCCUUGGCAGAUAAGUUGAUAUAGUACUUUGUAUGUUAGUCAGAGAUGUAACUAUGAUACAGGCUGGGCCUUUUUUUCAUCCAUUCAAUUCAAUCCAUGAUGCCCCCAAAAAAAAAAAGAUGACAGUUAAAUAGUUUAAUUUUACUUGGACGUGAAAUUCCAAACACCAAUGGCCAAGCAUUCCAGCUAGAGAGAACAAAUAUGACUGUUUUAUGAUGCAGAUGAUUAGUCAGGAAGCACGAAGGGAAGAGCAAAGAGAACAUGGGCGUUAUAUUCUAGAAGGCCAAAGAAAGAUCUAGAAGAGCACAAAUAAGCUAUCCAGCCAAGCACCAUUCUGUUAGAGGAACUUUUGGAAGAGCAUGUAACAGAGGCAGCAGGGAAAUCUACAUAAAGAAUAGAAAUGAUGAGAGGGGCAUGUGAAGGAAUUAGUCUGUUUGAUUUUAUUUUUCCAGCUAGAUAGAUAGCUUGGGGGCAGAGAGGAAUUCCUGCUUGGGAGGAUUAUCUUCUAGUAUUUGUUCCUUAUUUUAUGUUCAGCAUUCGCCAUUGAACUCUGAGUAUAUGCCAUAAAAUUCAUUCUCCAUUUUCCUCCAUAAAUUUUCUGGAUUCUUUCUAUAAUUGAUUGUUUAAAUUCAGAUUCAGAUUCCUUACUCUAUCAGUUUUAGGAUUUCAAUCGUCACGAUUAUACCACCAAUCAAGUUCAGCUGUGUUGAUCAAUCUAACAAAAUCAGCAGCUGUUGCACAGAAAGUUACCUCAACGCUGAUAUACCAUUUACUGUUAGGAUUCCGAUGAGGCUGAGCAUUGUAGUUGAUCAGACCAUAUAGAAGCCCAUGCCUGAUAUUUGUUCUGCGCAAAGAAGCUAGCACUUCAUCCACUCGAACAAAUGCAUCAUCAUCUGUUUUCAUGACAUAGUUGGCUGAAAUGACUUCUGCCCCAAAAGUACAGAUUGCUACAGUCUUCCAGGUUAUAAGAUUGUAAUAGUCAACAAAAGGCACUAGCUGAAUGUCUCCAUACGUCUGUAAUUCAUUCCAGAGCUGCUCAUUCACCAUCUGGUUUCUAUGUAGACCAACAAAAAAGCGCACUGCAACUGCUCCUGUCUUCACAGCGGGGUACUGCAUCCAUGUUCUACGAACAGCCGUCCUGCGCUCAAAAUUGUUGGCUGUAGAAAAGACACCAAUGAAGAGAUCCAGUGGCUGGUUUGGUGGUAGUUGAGCUGAUUUUAAUGACUCUAAAUCAACAAUGUGGUCUGAUUCCUCAGAUGAGGGUAAGCCACUGGCCAAGAUAGAGAUUAAGUUCAAGUCUCCAGAUAUCCUUACUUGACUAACAAGCCAUGGCUCCAAACUUUCACGAAAAGCAAAAGAUGUUAUGUGCUUUCCAUCAACUGUCAUCUGAAUUCCUUCUUCUCCCACCCUAAGUGUCAUAACAGACAAAUAACCUUGCUUAAACGGAAAAUACCGUCCAGCUCUAGAUCUGUUCCUGGACAUUGACGACCUACUUGCAGCAAAUUUGCGGCUAUCAUUUUUGCCCACCAUUUCAUUGCACUGGUUUAAGUCAUCAACUUUCUUAUUAUCACCAGGGACAGCAGGGGGGCACCGCUCCUCUUCACCCCAAUCAUGAGCUGCUGUCCAUGUGUUUUGGACAAUCACAGGAUCCUCAGUUAUCUUGUCACCUAGAAGUCGAACAUUGUAAUGCAGAAUAAUAGGAGGCUCUGGCUCUCCUGGAAGUGAUUCCCCUGAUAAAUCAAACUGGAAACUGCCAAGAAGACCAUUGGGAAUGCCAAUUAUAGUAAUUGCAGAACCCUGAAUAAGGCCACACGGUAUUCUUAGCUUAUAUCCAUCUUUACCAAAUUCUGUGGUAUUCAUUUUGUUUAGAAAAUAAGGACAUUGUUUCUCCUUCAAUCCAUUAGCAUCACCUUGUUCCCCCUUCUUAAAGGACUCCAUAAGACUCUCCCAUGCGACUUGAGCUUCCCUUAUGGCCUCCAUUGCAUUAGGCAAACCUUGUGAAUAAUUGACUAGAUGUCUCAUACGAUUCCAAGUCAAUAAUGAACUUUCAACUUCAUGGGAAAAGUUCCUGUCAAUAAAGAGACUAGAGAGCAGGGUUGCUGUAGAAAUCACUUGACUAGCAGAUUCUGGGCUACGGAAUGCAGGUGGAGCCCCGGGGUUAAUCCAUUCAAGAGGAUUAGAUAUAUUUACACUUAUAGGACUUGUCAAUGUACCUUCCCCAAAUGGAUUUUUCAUCACACCCAGCCUUAGAACUAUCAGCAUAAAGAGGGACCCAGCGAGAACACCACAGAGACACCUCUUCAUUUUUGCUCAACUGAACCUUUGCAUCAACGGUUCCAAACUCUAAGGCUGCCACUCCCCUGAAAAUUUAGACAACCACCAAGAGCGUGAGGAGCGGUCACAGCAACUACGUUGAGCAAUAAUCACCUACUCCGACCCAAUUUCACAAACUGCGGCCCUGUCAACCCAACUCAGAUACUACAAUUCACAAUCCAAUGCUUCAACCUCUCAAAUUCAUAAACUUUACCACGAAUGCAGAACGGUAGAUCAAAUUUAACAGCCCUUUUUUCCCACAAAAUUCUGAAAGUGGAAGAAAGAAGAUGAAAAGGAAGAGGAAGAGCAAGCGUGAAAAGAGAGGGCUGAGUUGAACGGACAAACAAAGGAAGAAUAUUUGGAAGAGGAAGUUUCAAACAAAUUGUAUUUGGAAGAAAAACAAACACUUGAAGUCUACGCCUAGGUCGGUUGUUGUCGAGAGAGUCGAUGUUUU